GAUGAACGCUGGCGGCGUGCCUAAUACAUGCAAGUCGAGCGAACGGACGAGAAGCUUGCUUCUCUGAUGUUAGCGGCGGACGGGUGAGUAACACGUGGAUAACCUACCUAUAAGACUGGGAUAACUUCGGGAAACCGGAGCUAAUACCGGAUAAUAUUUUGAACCGCAUGGUUCAAAAGUGAAAGACGGUCUUGCUGUCACUUAUAGAUGGAUCCGCGCUGCAUUAGCUAGUUGGUAAGGUAACGGCUUACCAAGGCAACGAUGCAUAGCCGACCUGAGAGGGUGAUCGGCCACACUGGAACUGAGACACGGUCCAGACUCCUACGGGAGGCAGCAGUAGGGAAUCUUCCGCAAUGGGCGAAAGCCUGACGGGGCAACGCCGCGUGAGUGAUGAAGGUCUUCGGAUCGUAAAACUCUGUUAUUAGGGAAGAACAUAUGUGUAAGUAACUGUGCACAUCUUGACGGUACCUAAUCAGAAAGCCACGGCUAACUACGUGCCAGCAGCCGCGGUAAUACGUAGGUGGCAAGCGUUAUCCGGAAUUAUUGGGCGUAAAGCGCGCGUAGGCGGUUUUUUAAGUCUGAUGUGAAAGCCCACGGCUCAACCGUGGAGGGUCAUUGGAAACUGGAAAACUUGAGUGCAGAAGAGGAAAGUGGAAUUCCAUGUGUAGCGGUGAAAUGCGCAGAGAUAUGGAGGAACACCAGUGGCGAAGGCGACUUUCUGGUCUGUAACUGACGCUGAUGUGCGAAAGCGUGGGGAUCAAACAGGAUUAGAUACCCUGGUAGUCCACGCCGUAAACGAUGAGUGCUAAGUGUUAGGGGGUUUCCGCCCCUUAGUGCUGCAGCUAACGCAUUAAGCACUCCGCCUGGGGAGUACGACCGCAAGGUUGAAACUCAAAGGAAUUGACGGGGACCCGCACAAGCGGUGGAGCAUGUGGUUUAAUUCGAAGCAACGCGAAGAACCUUACCAAAUCUUGACAUCCUUUGACAACUCUAGAGAUAGAGCUUUCCCCUUCGGGGGACAAAGUGACAGGUGGUGCAUGGUUGUCGUCAGCUCGUGUCGUGAGAUGUUGGGUUAAGUCCCGCAACGAGCGCAACCCUUAAGCUUAGUUGCCAUCAUUAAGUUGGGCACUCUAAGUUGACUGCCGGUGACAAACCGGAGGAAGGUGGGGAUGACGUCAAAUCAUCAUGCCCCUUAUGAUUUGGGCUACACACGUGCUACAAUGGACAAUACAAAGGGCAGCGAAACCGCGAGGUCAAGCAAAUCCCAUAAAGUUGUUCUCAGUUCGGAUUGUAGUCUGCAACUCGACUACAUGAAGCUGGAAUCGCUAGUAAUCGUAGAUCAGCAUGCUACGGUGAAUACGUUCCCGGGUCU
Molecule: ribosomal RNA, 1372 nt
Filed under: uncultured bacterium
Lineage: Bacteria
Description: bacterial SSU rRNA
Rfam family: Bacterial small subunit ribosomal RNA
Source: RNAcentral